This 439-nucleotide ribosomal RNA is filed under the name uncultured bacterium. RNAcentral's name for it is "bacterial SSU rRNA". It matches the Rfam family "Bacterial small subunit ribosomal RNA", at positions 954 to 1392 of the family's 1533-position model. The record is from RNAcentral.
GCAUAACGCGAAGAACCUUACCAGGUCUUGACAUCCCCCUGACCGGUGCAGAGAUGUACCUUUCCUUCGGGACAGGGGAGACAGGUGGUGCAUGGUUGUCGUCAGCUCGUGUCGUGAGAUGUUGGGUUAAGUCCCGCAACGAGCGCAACCCUUGACUUUAGUUGCCAGCAAGUAAGGUUGGGCACUCUAGAGUGACUGCCGGUGACAAACCGGAGGAAGGUGGGGAUGACGUCAAAUCAUCAUGCCCCUUAUGACCUGGGCUACACACGUACUACAAUGGCCGGUACAACGGGAAGCGAAGGAGCGAUCUGGAGCGAAUCCUUUAAAGCCGGUCUCAGUUCGGAUUGCAGGCUGCAACUCGCCUGCAUGAAGUCGGAAUCGCUAGUAAUCGCGGAUCAGCAUGUCGCGGUGAAUACGUUCCCGGGUCUUGUACACACCG